UACGGAGGGUGCAAGCGUUAUCCGGAUUCACUGGGUUUAAAGGGUGCGUAGGCGGGCAAGUAAGUCAGUGGUGAAAUCUCCGGGCUUAACUCGGAAACUGCCGUUGAUACUAUUUGUCUUGAAUAUCAUGGAGGUAAGCGGAAUAUGUCAUGUAGCGGUGAAAUGCUUAGAUAUGACAUAGAACACCGAUAGCGAAGGCAGCUUACUACAUGUUCAUUGACGCUGAGGCACGAAAGCGUGGGGAGCAAACAGG
This 253-nucleotide ribosomal RNA is filed under the name uncultured bacterium. RNAcentral's name for it is "partial 16S ribosomal RNA". It matches the Rfam family "Bacterial small subunit ribosomal RNA", at positions 524 to 776 of the family's 1533-position model. The record is from RNAcentral.